Long non-coding RNA from Triticum aestivum (bread wheat), 2536 nucleotides. RefSeq lists it as uncharacterized. The record is from RefSeq and is a predicted model, not a curated record. NCBI's taxonomy places the organism in Eukaryota, Viridiplantae, Streptophyta, Magnoliopsida, Poales, Poaceae. The transcript has 7 exons.
AUUGUUAUCAAACUCUCAAAAAGGAAAAUCAGCUUUAUUCUAAUUUGGCAAAGCUUGGAGGAUAUUUUUACAGCAUGAAGAUAAGAGGAUGGGAAGGGAUGAUCUUCAUGAGCCUCAGUGGUACUAUCAUAUUAUCAUAACUGCUGCAAAGUUCAUAAAAUGAUCCCUGUUUCAGACUCAGAUCAAAGGAACAAGCUGAUCAAUACGUUUCAGCCAUGGAAUACUGCAUCAAGAAAAACAAUCAAGUUGAGCAUACUGCAAUGUUUUGACAGGAGAUUCCGUUAGCUUUCAGACAAAGUAAUCCAGUAGAUAGGUCAACAGAUUUUCAAGGAACAACAAGCCUUCAAUGAACUCAGCCGGUAAUAGAAGGUUUUUUUCUGCCUAAAUCUUAUAUUUUCAAUCUGUAAGAAUCUGUUUUGACAAUGACAUGAAACUUGUAAGUCACAUCGUUUCAUCCAUACUCAUGCAUCAACAUGUUCCAUAGAAAACUUAUACAGAACUGAAUCAAAAGAAGCUGCUUUCAUUUCAAGAAUUUGUUCAAUCCUAAAAAAUGUGAAAUCUAUCUAAGGAAGUGCAUCGACACACAGCGUGUGCUUAGUCACAAUUUUACAUACAUCAUUGCUCGGUCCCCAUCAUAUAAACUGAUACCAUUUCAUUUUCAUUCCCUGCACUCUAUCUUCCUAUUUGAUCCUACAAUUGGACUCACUCAGUGUACUAUUACCUUUUCUUUUCACUGUGAGAUCCAUGCCUCAUUACCUGUAUGUGCCAUUCUGUGAAGGGAGUCCAGUACUAGCUAAUUCCACUUAGUACAAGAUGUAUGCCUGAUUAUCUGUGUGCGCAAUUUGUCAAGAACACACAUGGUAAAGUUUUAUCACUACUGCUUACCCGGUUACUCUCCUCUCAGACUGCAUAAUUGAAUUACCUCAAUAUUAUGUUGUAUUCUAUUCAAUCUCAUAUAUGUCGUUUCCAUUACAAACAAAUAUCUUUCUUAUUUCUCACAGUAACAAUUCUCUCAACACAUGCUCCACAGCACGACGACGACGAGCAUCCGGAGAAAUCAUCUGCGUACAUUCUAAAGAUUGGUGAUGGAGAUGCUACCCAGUGCAUGAGUGGAUUCAUAGCCUUGGACUUUCCUCCUCCCUAUGGACCUAUCCGGAUCCUGGGUGAUAUAUUCAUGGGAGCCUACCAUGCUGUAUUCGACUAUGGCAACAUGAAGGUUGGGUUCGCGAAGGCGGCAUAGGGUCCCCCAUGGUGGAUGGAUGAGCCGCAAAGCUGCCUAAUCUUCAGGUCGGUUUCGUCUUCGUCAAAGCAUGUAUGUGCAUAUGUUACAUGCUUAAUAAUAAUUAUGUGAUCUGGGAUAAUAAACAUGUCUGUUAUGAUUUGUCCAAUAUAAUGAAGCAGGCUUUCAUACUCAUUAUUUGCAUAUAAGCAUGUUUCUCUUGAAUCCCAACUGAAAAACGUGUCUACAACGUGUUUUUGUUCAUAUCUGCUUAUUCACCUAAAAUCAUAUUUGGGGUAUCUCAAAAGACUCAAAUUAGAUCGAUGUAUUGAAACUGAAGGAUGGUCGAUUUGGUUGGGAGUAAAAACUGUAGGGUAAUGCACUUUUUUUAUAUUGAGUUGUUUCUUGAACACAAAUCCUUGGGAGAGGAAGAGUUUCUGAUGCGGGCAAGGAAUCAGAUCUUCAGGUGACCACACAUUCAUUCAAACCAGGUGACCCAUACUUCCUUUUAUCUCCCUUGCAUUUUUGAUUUGGUUCACCUCCACUCCCAUCCUAGCUUGCUCUUUUGGGUUCCUAUAGGUUGGUUGCAAGGCAGUGAAGAACUGAAAUACCUGAAGAGAACAUUAGGAGAUGAUGCUAGAAGCUUGCUUGUGUGCUACCUGUUGUUGUCAUUCGAAGGAGGAAGGAAUGUGCAUAUUCUCAUUGAAUAGAAAAAAGAGGCACUAUGUGUAAAUAGGAGAGUGGAAGGGGCGGCUCCCACUUGGCACCGCCCCAACUUUCUAUCAAGAGGCGCCCCAACCCCUAGUACAUGGCAAAAUGAGUGGUGAUGGAGGCGUGUGGGCGAUGUGCAAACGCCCACGCGUGUGGGCGUUAACAUUUCCGAAACUUUAAGCCAGGGAUUUAGCCAAAGGGCCGGGCCAGAAAAAUCAGGGGUAUGUGCCAAACUAUUGUGAAGCAAGGCUUUUCUCUCCAAACGUUUUCUCCUCUUAGGACAAACUCUCCCCUCCAGGCUUCAUCGGCAAACCCGCGGAUUGGCCUCCCCUCUACUUGCUGCUAUGGCGGCCAGUGGCGUGGAUAGGAAUUGUGUUUCGACUAGUAGUUUAGGUUAGGGUUUGUUAGCCCUUGCAGGUGCCGCGCUCAGGCGGAUGGCAAGGCCUAUUCUGUGAGUUUGUGUUCCGGGCUCUGAUCCUCCUUGAGUUCGCCCAUCUGGAUGUAGUCGAGGAGCUCCAACAUAGAUUUCUUCCGUCUCCUUGAAGCGGCGAGGUUAGGAUUUCUCGCCGCGUGUCGCGACAGCGAGAUUUGUUGUCAGUUGCUUCA